RNAcentral lists this transfer RNA (81 nucleotides) under Proteus vulgaris. RNAcentral's name for it is "tRNA-Arg". The record is from RNAcentral. RNAcentral also lists the same sequence under 1 other name. Lineage: Bacteria; Pseudomonadati; Pseudomonadota; Gammaproteobacteria; Enterobacterales; Morganellaceae.
CUGUAUUUAGUUGAUAUUAAAACAUAAUUCUACGCUCUUCUAAGCCGUAGGUCACAGGUUCGAAUCCUGUAGGGCGUACCA